UUGUCCGAACUCAAAAACCAGAUGGCUGAACCCCCAUCCUCGGCACCCUCAGUAGGGACCUCUGAGGUGGAACAGCUACAAGAUGAGGCCAAACACCUGAGGAAGGAGGUGGAAAGCCUGGAGGGAAAGCUCCAAUCCCAGGUGAAAAGCAAUCAGACCUUGAGUCUCCUGAGCAAGGAACAAAAGGAGAGACUCCAGGAGCAGGAGGAGAGGAGGCUGCAGGAGCAGGAGAGACUGUGAGCAAAAGGGGAGGCUUUGGGAGCAGCAGAAGAGGCUGGGGGAGCAGGGUAAGAGGCUGCAAAAGCAGGAGGAGAGGCUGCAAACGGAGGAGGAGAGACUGUGGGAGAAGGAGGAGAGGCUACGAAAACAGGAGGAGAGGCUGCGAAUGCAGGAGGAGAGGCUCGCGCUCUCCCAGAACCACAAGUUCAACAAGCAACUGGCCAAGCCUUAGUGCAGCUUUGAGGAUCUGAACAAUGAGAACAAAAGCGCACUGCAUUGGAGCAGCAAGUAAAGCAGCUGCAGGAGAAGCUGAGCGAGGAGUGCCUAGAAGCUGCCGGCCAGCAGAACCAACAGCUGGAGGCCCAGCUGAGUCUCAUGGCUCUCCCUGGACAAGAAGAUGGAGGAGGACAUCUGGACACUGAGGAGGAGGGGGUGCCUCGGCCUAUGCCGAGUGUCCCAGAGGGCCUGGAGAGCCAGGAGGCCACAAUGAGUCUGACUAGCGGCUUUAUGGACCUCCCAAAGGAGAAGGUGGAUGGGAAGGAGCAGGUGGAGAAUCUAGAGCUUGGAUUCAUCCAGCUCUCUGGAGCAACAGACGGCAUGAGAGAGUACUUCACCAUAUAUGGGAGCCAAGGGGCAGUCCCAAACACGCGGCACCAGGAGGAGGAGGACGUCAGCAGUCUGGCCCAGAAUGAGGAGGAGAUGAACGUGAAGCUGCUGGAGCUGCAGGAGCUGGUGUUGCCGCUUGUGGGUGACCACGAGGGGCAUGACAAAUUCCUCCCCACUGCCCAGAACCCUGCUGAUGAGCCCGCUCCAGGGGCCACAGCCCCCCAGGAACUUGGGGCUGCCCAUGAGCAGGGUGAUUUUUAUGAGGUGAGCCUGGCCAACAGCAUGGAGCCUGCACCAGGAGAGGCCAGGGAGGGUUCUCCCCAUGACAACCCCACUGCACAGAAGAUUGUACAGCUGCUUCCUGUAAUGCAGGACACCCAGGAGCACCCAGGCUUUGCCAGCAAACCCUGCGUGCCAUUCUUUUACCGGGCAGCUGAGAACAGAGAGAUAAAAAUCAUCAUCAUCUAAGAGCUGGUCAAGAAAU
This is an RNA transcript of Mandrillus leucophaeus (drill), 1309 nucleotides long. It is a transcript of the gene named putative golgin subfamily A member 6B, with no coding region annotated. NCBI's taxonomy places the organism in Eukaryota, Metazoa, Chordata, Mammalia, Primates, Cercopithecidae. The transcript has 9 exons. The record is from RefSeq and is a predicted model, not a curated record.